AAUCACAAGAUUAUUUUCUUUAUGUCUUGUAGGUGCAAAGAAUAGCAGCUGAUGUGGAGAAAUGUUUGAUGCUUCAAGACUCUGAAGCUGAUUUUAUUAGGUCCACCCAGUGGCUUUUGACUAUUUGAGGGUCAGAUGGUUGUGAAUUCAUACCUCAACAUUGUGCGUCCCGGGAGCAGGCAUCUUUUGCACACAUUAAUUUUUUCAAAGAUGUUUUCUUGGAAUCACAACACUCACUGGAUACAAGAUGGACACAUAGAGGCAAAACAAGUGGAAAAGUCUCAGAGAAGAGGGACAACCCUCAUGUGUGUGCUCAUCUCAGAAAGUUGAUGGAC
Carassius carassius (crucian carp) is the source of this 335-nucleotide long non-coding RNA. RefSeq lists it as uncharacterized. The record is from RefSeq and is a predicted model, not a curated record. The transcript has 3 exons. Lineage: Eukaryota; Metazoa; Chordata; Actinopteri; Cypriniformes; Cyprinidae.